UACCCCAAACUACUAAACGGAAAACUAACAGAGUUAUUGUCACCGGGGCCCGGGGUGGACCAUCGGAAACCUUCCCUCCCCGUAAUAGCCCGUUUUCUAGGUUAAAAGGGUGUGUGUACGUGUAUGUUCUCGGUGUAAAAGGUUUAGGGUCAGCAGUCUCGAGCGAGGGAAGAAGGGGGUUUAGGGAGCGCGUCGGUGUGAGGGGAGGGAUGACUGUGUAAACUCGAACUCGAUCCCAAAGAGUGGUGGCCGCCGCCCUACCCGUAGGAGCUCGUGUCGGUUUUAAGGAGAGGCGCUGCCGUACCCGUAGUCCUUUACUGGAGUGACGGAUAGGGGCUGCUGGAGGACGGACUUUAGAAGGAGGCGGACGGGUGGGGCACGCUGGAGUAGGCUCGGAGGCGGCAGACGCGGAGGAAGGCGGCGCAGCAGCAGCUGGCGGGGAAGGAGGCCUCCAUGGUGUUCGAGGUAAGGGGCGGGGAGUAGCCGAAGGAGCUAAAAGCGGCUCAGAAGGUGGGCCGGCUUGGCGGAGUGGGGAGGCGCAGACGUCGGUUUCGGCAGCGGGAGCGGCGACUGAAGUGGAACAGGAAGGAGGGAUGGGGUCGGCCACUGACCUGGUAAAGCCUGUAGACGCCGCCAGAACAGGAGGAGUUCUCCGCGCUGACACGCCUCGACCACCACACGCUGGGGAACGUGGCCGCCGUGGAGGACGAAGGGGGUUAGGGACUUAAGCUGCUCACCCAAGUAAGUCACCUGUUCGGUGCGUGCAAACCCACAGUCUAGGAGGACCACCCGCCACUGCUCCUCCGAAGUCUCCUCCGUAAAAAGUCUCACUAUAUACACCUUAAGUGGGAUGUACUCCUUCGGCAGAAGCAGAAGAGAAGGUCGUGGCCUCUUACCGCUCGAUGAGGAAGCCGUGGUGCUAGCGGAAUGAGUACGACCGAGGUCAUACGUAUACCGACGAACAUACCCCACUGUCAAGAGUGAGUAUCUGGAGGGUGGGCGUCGGUCUCGGUCGAGAAGAGUACACGCAUAUCGGUAACACCUCCGUCCCCUCCCGUAGUAACCCUACAAACACGAUGGUUUACUCUGUAGAGUGGAGUCAAUAAAGCAAUCCGCUUUUUUCCACGUUCAAGGUCGGUCACCUUCAACUUCUGUUAGAGUGACCUAAGAAGGGUCAUGAGAAAGUUCCACUCUAGCUGCCCCUCCUUGAACAAGGAUGUUGUAACGUCUUUAGGUAGUGGACUACGGCCGGAAAAGAGUUACCUGUAGUUGUGUAAGGUCGAACUCUCCCACAAACCAAGGUUGAUAUCGUACGAAAUGGGAACCCGUAUAUUGUUGAAAGGUGAUAGUAACAGCUGAGGUCGUCAUAGUUCACCAUGAGUCGUUUUACUACUCUUCCUCUACGACCUUGUUCCACGCCUCCGCGACGUCCGACUUCUCGGGUAUCCAUCGGGGGUACGGCUCUCUUGACUACUACUACGCUUACGACCUCCAGUCCGGCCACAUAGUUCCUGACCCCUACUACGACUAACUCCAAUACGACACUGCAUGACCUAUCAACUGAUGUCCAACUAGCGGUUAUCCCAUGAACACUGAUACGUACAGGCAUGACACCAGUAGAUUUUAAUUGUACCUCAAAUAAAACACACCGAACUAGACUGUUACUAGCCACGCCAACAGUCCAUUCCAUCGUUCUCGUCAUUAUUUGUAAACUAAAGACGUGUUACUCAUCCAAUUAAUACUGACAGUCUCUAACACUAGAACUACAUACGGAAGGGGUACGCCGUACUUACCUUGGUCAGUCCGUGUUCCUUUAGUUCCCUUCCUUAGACAAAC
This 1836-nucleotide ribosomal RNA is filed under the name Triticum aestivum (bread wheat). Its description in RNAcentral is "partial small subunit ribosomal RNA". The record is from RNAcentral. Lineage: Eukaryota; Viridiplantae; Streptophyta; Magnoliopsida; Poales; Poaceae.